RNAcentral lists this long non-coding RNA (2693 nucleotides) under Mytilus galloprovincialis (Mediterranean mussel). The record is from RNAcentral. Lineage: Eukaryota; Metazoa; Mollusca; Bivalvia; Mytilida; Mytilidae.
UCGGAAAGAACUUUAUUUAAACAUUUACAGUAAAUUUUUGAGUUGUACAACAUGAGUUUUGGUAUAGUUAAUUUGAGAUGUACAACAUCGGUUUUUAGUUUAUAUAAUAAAAACAAUAUACAUUAAUAAUGCAUCUCAUAGGGAGGUUGGCCUUGGGUAGGGGACAUAACUCUUAAAAUCACUAGUGCGUUUGUAUUAGACAUGUUCAUUAAUAUAUUUUAAGUUUUUAUCUAAUACAGAUUACUAUAAUUCUAUUUCACAUGAGUGCUUGAAACACAAUAAGGAUAAUGGCUGUUACAAACGCAUUACUGAUUUUAUAGUGUUCUCUCCAAUACCCUGCAAACUCCAAAACAGUGGUUAUGUCUGCACAAUAGCAUAUACUUAAAGUUUAGUGUAGCAACAAUGCAACUGUUUUAGAGUUUUCACACCAAGGUCUAACGCCUGAAGACCACAUAAUUUUUUUAGAUUCUCAACAUCUUCCCAUCAGAUAGAUUUUCUUCAAAAUCUCUGUCCUUCAAACAAUUAUUAUGUAAGUUUUCACAGAGAUACAUAUACAUGUAUGUUCAUAUGUCUAUGAUCAACAUCUGGGGGAAAUAAAUGUCAAAAGAUGAUGAGAAAUCCAAAUUUGAAUUGUAUAUAGCCUUCACAAUCAAUCAUCAUAAUUUCUUUUAUUCUAAAUCUUUCAUACAAAACUAAGACAAACAUUUACAUGGCAACAUGAACAUUUUGGAAAAAAUAUUGAAGUUACUAAUUGUUUUGUUGGAGUUGUUCUGGUACAUCAAGUGAUGUUGAAACAUUUUUUUUUCAAAAUAGAUGCAUAAAAGGAUUUUUUAUUCAAUCAAAUUGACAUUGCUUUCUUUCUUUUUUUUCUUCUUUAUUUUUUCUGGUUUAAAAAGCUUUACCUUAGCUAAAUUCGAAAUAAUCUUGCAAGUAAAUACUAAUGAUUGAAAACGGAAAACAAAAGUACGACUAUUGCACAAUUAUUACAAAGCAAAAAUUCUAAAUUCAUCUAUGUAUACUAAUAAAUAGAAUAAACCUGGUCCCAGUAGAUUUUUGGUCUGUCUACAUUGAGCUUAUGGACUUGGUAGUCCAAAACAUCUGGUCCCAGUAGAACUAAGGUCAGUCUACAUUGAGCUUAUAUUUGUACAGACUUGAUUGUCCAAUAAGAUAGUAAUUUACAGGUGAAAUGAACAUUGAGAUUGUGUCAUGAAAGAACAUUGACAGAGUAAAACAAAUAAUUUUCAAUGACAUCCGAAUUACAAAUAUUUCCUUCAUUAUAUCAUGGUGCAUGUUUUCAUUUUUUUAAUUGUUUUUAAGGUAAUUGCAUUGAUAAGAGAUCAAUCAAGCUUGACACCAUUAAUUACCUACACUAGAAACAUGUUGGAUCUGAAUAUUGUAAUUAGUGACAAUGUGUACUAUAUAGUUAUAUUGAUCUAAAGCAAGUAAUGAAUUUUCAAUGGUGUUGUUAAAUUUAGUGUAAAAGUCUGAUUUACAUGGAAAAUCUUUAUGACAAUGCAUUCAAAUUUCAGAGUAAAUGGAAAAUAUGACAAAAAAAAAUAAUUUGAUUUUUGUUGGUUUAUUCAUGAAAUUUCUCCCCAACAUAAAACUUUGAGCAAGGAGAGACUUGUUACUGAUUAAUAUUGUGUUUUAAUAUAAUUUGUUUACCUAGAAUUUAAAGUAUUGCACAUAGAUAAACUGUUUUUGCAGUAAUUGCAUAUGUACAACAGGCCUGCAUAUUUUCUAAGCUGCAUAGUUUAUAUACAAAGAUGGGACAAAAGUUUACAUUUUUACAAAUUUCAUGCUUACAUGAUUUAGAGCCUUAUCUAAUUUCAUAACAUAACUACAUGUUUCUGUUGAUGCCUUUUAUACAAUUAUCAGGUAACCACAAAAUAUAUUGCAGAUGCAUGAUCUCAAUUAGAACAGAAACACCACAUUUUGUCAUGACUUUUAUACAGGGAACAUUUAGUUGUAAUUGCGGUCUGUCUUGUGGUCCCCAUUUCAACUUUAGGUAAAGAGUUUCAGUCUCUGUUCUUCAUAAUUUAUUUUAAUAGUCUGAAAGUGGAUCACGAAAAAAAUGAAAUUGUUUGGGUUACAUUGGUUUCAAAUGGAAAAUAGAAGAAAAUUCAGCAUGAACUAAAAAAAAACUUGGCUUUUAAUCCAUGAUGAUGAGGUCAUCUGAAUUUCACUGCAGUUAAUGAUUGCAAUGAAUUCAAAGUUUGACUUUGAAAUAAUAUAAAACUAAAAAUAAAGGUCAUAUGACAGAAGGCACAGUUCAUCCUUGUUUUUCAGGUUUUUAUAAAAUCUGUUUACCCAGAAUUCACUAGCACAUGUUUUAUUAAUUUCUCUUUGUCUUUAGAGAAAUUCUUUCCUAUACAACACUAAGGACAUUGGAUAAAAAAGUAUCAAUAGCUGUCCACAGAUUGUUUAAUGAACUGAUGUCCUGAGCAUACUAGUUGAUCCAUGAUCACCUUUAAUUACAAGCAAUAAACUGAUAGUUUCUGGUUCCCUGUUCAUUACAAUAAAGAUAUCAUAACAACAUAAACUGGAUGUAUUUAGGGAUGUCUAGCUGACAACAACAACAUUAUUUUCUAUACCCUCGGCAUCAUUUUUGGUUGGCUGAAAAGAAAAGUAAAAAUGAUUUAAUUGCAUCUAUGAAAAAUAUCAAGGAAAUGUCUAAAUUAAUUACGUAAAAC